ACUUCCUAGAAACACACAAGUAUGAAAGCUGCCUCAGCCCUCCCUGAACUUUCCCUGUAAACACAGCAGCUGACAGUCCUGCAUCCCCGCUGGGUGGAUCCCGCAACUCCAAGUGGGGAAUGGCACUUCUUGUUUUUAAUUAGCCAAGGUGAAAAGGUGAAUUAAAACUGGCUGCUUGGCAAGCUGGAGCAAGGGGCUGACUUCGGAGGGGCUGCGACCUCCCCCCGAGAAAUGGGUGGGGAGUUUCAGAAGGACGGUGCACGCGAGUGUGCGCGCGUGUGUGCGCGCGUGAGUGUGUGUAUGUGUGUCUUUUUCUGAAUGAACAGUCUCACAGAAAGUGACUGGAAAAGCAGUUCUGGGGAAUCUGCAGGCGGUUCCUGGGUACCCAGCGCCUAAACUGAACUCCUCCCUUGGAAUGUCCGGGUACUCUCAGCUUGGAAACAACUGUCCUAAGCGGGAGGGUGGUUUCCUGUGACAUCUCCAAACACAGCCUGACAAAUGGCACUUGGGGAUCGUGUUUUCUGGUGACAACAGACUAGGUCGCGGUGUGUGACAGAACUGCUCGAGCUGCCUCUGAAGGAAAAGUCGCCUGUUCAACUCCCGAGCUCAGGGGCCAAAGUGAAGACCAGAGGAAAGGGGAACAUUUGCCCAGGAAGUAGCAUGGCAUCGGCUGGGCACAUCUUCACCUGGGUCCUGGGGGGGUUGCUCCUCGAGUUUUGGAGUGGAGGUCAUGCAACAGAAACCACCCACCCCCGGUUACGCCUCUCCUACAAAGAUUCCAGUUGGAUGGAGGAUUCUCUGACUUGGAGUUGGACUGGAGGAACUGGAGCCCUGGAGGAACUCGUGCAGGAGACCUCAGACUACUUUUCCAUUUUAGAAGGUCACCAUUGGUGAGUGAAAGGCUGACUUAGUGACCCCACCUUUCUGGAGGCUUAAAGCCUCCAAGAAAGGCCCAUUGUCUUGAGACAAUUUUUCCCCUGGCCGGGGCUUAGAAAUUCUAACUCUUUCUCUCUCUCUCUUUGUCUCUCUCUGUCUCUCUGUCUCUCUCUCUGUCUCUGUCUCUCUCUCUUCCCCCUUUUCUCUCUUCCUUAAUAUCUUCCCUCUAUUGUAAAUAAAACUACCAUAAAUUCAUUUUACUUUAGUAAU
RNAcentral lists this long non-coding RNA (1146 nucleotides) under Monodelphis domestica (gray short-tailed opossum). RNAcentral's name for it is "lncRNA (ENSMODG00000044042.1)". The record is from RNAcentral. Lineage: Eukaryota; Metazoa; Chordata; Mammalia; Didelphimorphia; Didelphidae.